RNAcentral lists this ribosomal RNA (512 nucleotides) under uncultured bacterium. RNAcentral's name for it is "bacterial SSU rRNA". It matches the Rfam family "Bacterial small subunit ribosomal RNA", at positions 8 to 518 of the family's 1533-position model. The record is from RNAcentral.
AGAGUUUGAUCCUGGCUUAGGAUGAACGCUAGCUACAGGCUUAACACAUGCAAGUCGAGGGGUAGCAGGGUAGCAAUACCGCUGACGACCGGCGCACGGGUGAGUAACACGUAUCCAACCUUCCCAUAACUCAGGGAUAGCCUUUCGAAAGAAAGAUUAAUACCUGAUAGUACUUUUUCAAGGCAUCUUGAGAAAGUUAAAGAUUUAUUGGUUAUGGAUGGGGAUGCGUUCCAUUAGAUAGUUGGUGAGGUAACGGCUCACCAAGUCUUCGAUGGAUAGGGGUUCUGAGAGGAAGGUCCCCACAUUGGUACUGAGACACGGACCAAACUCCUACGGGAGGCAGCAGUGAGGAAUAUUGGUCAAUGGGCGAGAGCCUGAACCAGCCAAGUAGCGUGAAGGAUGAAGGUCCUAUGGAUUGUAAACUUCUUUUAUAGUAGAAUAAAGUGAUCCACGUGUGGAUUUUUGUAUGUAUACUAUGAAUAAGGAUCGGCUAACUCCGUGCCAGCAGCCGC